AUUGACUCUUGAUUGUGAGUGUUCGGUCAUCUUUAGGAGUGGAGAUACCACCAUUGUUGAUCUAUUUAAGUGUUUACCAUUGAUUGAGUAUCUUAAUGUUGUGCUUUUCAUCGUUGAGAUGUAUAACGGAGACUGGCUUGACGAAGAUGAUUUGGGCUCUUUUACACUUGAUGAUUAUUCAGAUAUUAUGUUGGAGCAUUUGAAAGAAUUUGAGAUUCGAAAUUUUAGCGACGCAGAGAAUGAGUUGGAUUUUGUGAGGCUUAUAUUAGCCAAGUCACCUGUGCUAAAGAAGGUGACGGUAUCCCCGUAUUAUAAUUUUGAUAAAGAUGAAGAACCACAGAUUUCCGAAAUUCUUUUUUGCUCUCCGUUCGCAUCACCUAUGGUAGAAAUCAUCGUCAGACGUUGAAGUUCAAUUGGUCAUGCCGUUUGUGAUUCUGUUUUUUUUAAUGUCGAGUUCAGUUAAAUGAACAAAUUUGUUUCAUUCCGAUAUU
Long non-coding RNA from Helianthus annuus (common sunflower), 491 nucleotides. RefSeq lists it as uncharacterized. The record is from RefSeq and is a predicted model, not a curated record. Lineage: Eukaryota; Viridiplantae; Streptophyta; Magnoliopsida; Asterales; Asteraceae. The transcript is spliced from 3 exons.